Molecule: long non-coding RNA, 1495 nt
Organism: Hevea brasiliensis (rubber tree)
Lineage: Eukaryota; Viridiplantae; Streptophyta; Magnoliopsida; Malpighiales; Euphorbiaceae
Exons: 4
Source: RefSeq, a predicted model, not a curated record
AUCACUGCAAAUCUCUUAAUGCUGCAAAUUUGUCUCUUAAAUCAAAUCACUUAAAGAAACCCAAUUAAUCUCUCUCACUCUCUCUUUCUCUCUUUGCCUUUUUUCUUCUCUUCCAUGCCAUCUCUCUCUUUUCUUUCUCUUUCCUCUUCCCUUCGGUGCGCAACUUCCAUUACCGAUCCUUUUUUGUGAUUUAAGUCUCCUCACCAGCAAGCUUCCGAUCAUCCUUUGCUUUGUUAGCACACUACCAUUCGGUGCCCCUUCACACCGGCAUUGCUCCAUUCAUCUCACUCGCUCAUCGACCAUUCAUCAACGCCGAUCACCACCAUUCAUCUCAUCGGCCUUGCUUGACUCAUAGGUCAUUCAUCAAAUCAAGCAUCUCUUCACCUAUCAUCUCAUCUUACAUUAAUUCGGUUGAUAUCUCUUAGUCGAUUUUCCUUUUAUCUUACACUUUGUUGCAAUUUCUCAAGGUACCUACUCAGGUACGUGCAGAAUAUUGAUUGGUAUCUAUAGUAUAUUAGUUGGUGCCUAUAAAGUGUUAAUUGGUACCUGCAGUCGGUACUUAUGGUUUGUAGGUCAAUAUCCGCAAAUGGUACCUGCCAAUGUGUUGGUCAAAACCUGUGAUGUGUAGGUUGGUACCUCCAGCUAGUACCUACUAAUUUACUAGUCAGUCUUGGAGUCGGUAACUGCCAAUUGCCUACAUUUGUUAAAUAUAAGUAUUGUAGAACUUGUAUGUCUGCGUUUCUUACUUAACUUUUGUUGCUUGGGAAUGCUCACUCUGCCCCUUGUAUUUGCAGUUAUGGCAUCGGACUCUUCUGGUUCAUAAGUACUAAUCGGUACCUAGGUACCAGCAGCUCCGCAGGUACCAUUAGCAGUACCACGGGUUUCUCCUUUCAGCAAUGGUAUUCCUAGCUCUUUCUCGUCAAGUGCAGGUUCUUAGAAAAAGCCGUAAAGUCAAGUAUUUGAGGCUGUGGGUCAGCCUUGGUUAUUUUACGCUCAAAGUUAUCCCAUCAAUUUCCUACAAGGCUGAGUAGCAGGUAUUUCUGUUUGUAAGUACGAAAACAGUGGGCCUGCAAUUUUCCGAUACACGACGCACCGAAUUCUCCUGUGAUUGGACAAUAAGGAAGAUAGUGGAAGCAACUGAGUGGGGUUUAGCAUUAUCGCUGGGACAAAAAUGGUGACUGGUCACCACGUUACACCUCUCAAUCACACAUGGCCACGUGGACCCACAUCAGGCGAUCCGGUUUCUUGCCAAAAGCUGCUCCCCCUGAUAACACGUUUCUCUUCCAAGAUUUGCAAGCCCAACGCCCGGAGCAGCUUUCCAGGACAGAGAAAAGAAACCCUGGUGGAUUUCAAACCCUCUCUCAUCAAGAGGCAAGAUAGUUCAAUUGAUCCUGCUUGUGUUUCUCGUCUGGUUUGUUUGUAAUUGGUGUGCACUAUUAGUUAAAAGUUAAAAAAAAAAGUUUUAAUUAAAUAGACAACAAAUUAAGAAAAAAUA